This 484-nucleotide ribosomal RNA is filed under the name uncultured bacterium. RNAcentral describes it as "partial 16S ribosomal RNA". It matches the Rfam family "Bacterial small subunit ribosomal RNA", at positions 29 to 507 of the family's 1533-position model. The record is from RNAcentral.
AUUGAACGCUGGCGGCAGGCCUAACACAUGCAAGUCGAGCGGAUGAAGGGAGCUUGCUCCUGGAUUCAGCGGCGGACGGGUGAGUAAUGCCUAGGAAUCUGCCUGGUAGUGGGGGAUAACGUCCGGAAACGGGCGCUAAUACCGCAUACGUCCUGAGGGAGAAAGUGGGGGAUCUUCGGACCUCACGCUAUCAGAUGAGCCUAGGUCGGAUUAGCUAGUUGGUGGGGUAAAGGCCUACCAAGGCGACGAUCCGUAACUGGUCUGAGAGGAUGAUCAGUCAAACUGGAAGUGAAGCACGGUCGGGACGCGUACGGGUGGCAGAAGGGGGAGUUAUUGGAGAAGGGGGAAAAAUGUGACAAAGCCAUGCGGCGGGUGGAAAGAAAGUCUUCGAAUGAUAAACUACUUGAAGUGGGGGGAAAGGGGAGUAAAUAAAUACCUUCGUGUGUUGAGGUUCCAAACAGAAAGAGCGCCGGCGAACUUCGUG